UGAAGUCAAUGAUGAUGUUUGUUAUCCCUGUCUUAAAUACCAUGUGGAUUCGUUACAACUGAGACUUCA
Lineus longissimus is the source of this 69-nucleotide small nucleolar RNA. RefSeq annotates it as small nucleolar RNA R38. The record is from RefSeq and is a predicted model, not a curated record. Lineage: Eukaryota; Metazoa; Nemertea; Pilidiophora; Heteronemertea; Lineidae. The transcript has a single exon.